AGAAUUUUCUGUAAGGUCUUAUCACUCAGUGGCAGGAGCUCAGUCUGCACACAGUUCAGGAACCUGGCCAAGGACCCAUGCCCUCAAACAAGGAUUAGACUGGUGCUCUCUGAGUCCCAAUGUACACGGUCUCUGGGACCGUCUCCAGAUGGUUCUGGUCCUGUGUAUGAAAUACUCUGUCUCAUGACUAUGCAAAUAGUCCUAAGAGCACCAGGUUAAGUAUGGGUGUGUCUGUGCCCUGAGAGCAUCACCGGAAAACGCCAUCCUCUAUCGGAGACCCUGAGACACAUCCCCUCACAAUGGACUGGAGCUGGAGAAUCCUCUACCUGGGGGCAGUGGCUACAGGUGUGCACUCCCAGGUUUUGCUGGUGCAGUCUGGGGCUGAAGUGAGGAAGCCUGAGGCAUCAGUGAAGAUCUUCUGCAAAGCAUCUGGAUACAGCUUCACUGAUUACUAUAUGUACUGGGUGCGACAGGCUCCUGCACAAGGGUUUGAGUGGAUGGGAAGCAUUGACCCUGAAGAUGGUUCUACAAGCUAUGCACAGAAGUUCCAGGGCAGACUCACCCUGACAGCAGACACAUCCACAAACACAGCCUACAUGGAGCUGAGCAGUCUGAGGUCUACAGACAUGGCCGUGUAUUAUUGUGCAAGGACACAGUGAGGGGUUGUCAGUGUGAGCCCAGUCACAAACCGCCCUGUGGAAGAAGAUCAGGACCACCAGGGGGUGCACACUAUGCACCAUUCUGUUUGUGUUCCCAGGAGCAGAUGCAGGUACGGGUUGCUGGAAGGUUUUGUGCCAUGGCCUGGGGCUUCCUCUCCAUACAGCAGUUUCCCCCAGGAAGCCUCUCUGGACACAUGAUUCUGUGCUUACCUACUUGGGUCUGGUUUACAAAGUUUGUUUUACCAGGAAAACUAUAAUUACAUGAACAAGAGAUAGAGUCUCCUACAAUUGCUUACCCUUGUACUAAAUAUCAAUGGUUUACACGUAUCCUGAUGCACAUCAACUGAACAUUUCCAGGAGUCCCAGGAGCGCUCACUUUGCAUCUAGGGCCACAGGACCCCAUAGCUCCUCGUUAUCCUCACCCUGCUCUUGUCCCAGUCAAACACCAUGACACCUCAUUGAUGUCACUUUGCUUACCAGAACUUUAUAUGUGUUACAGUUUUCUUCAAAUACUUGAAACUACAAGAGAAAAAGCAUCUACAUGUAUUAGGAUAAUCCUGAGGGACAGAACACAUAGCACAUUGGCUUACAUGAAUAAAUAGGCUGAGAAGUCCCAUGAUAUACUAUCACAUGCUGGAUACCCAGUAAAGUCAGUGGUGUAAUUCUCAUCUGAUUCCAAACUAGUGUCAAGUCUGAGAACGGGGGACCUGAUGGUUUAACUUUCACUCCAAGGGCAAGAGGAAGUCAAUGUUACAGCUCAAGCAGGCACACAAGAAGUAAAAAUGAGAGAAUUUGCUUCACUUUUAUUUUUAUUCUAUUCAUAACCUUAACGGAUUGGGUUAUGCCCACUUCCCAAGACACCAAACGCAAGAACACAGUGCACACAGCACUCACCACAAACCCUUCCUGAAGCGCCAGUCUCCGCACAGCAUAUGAACUCUUCUUAAUGUAGCCAUUACUCUCAGAAGCUGAAAACAUAACAGGUUUUCUAAAACACAGAAGAAGACAGAGACCUAGACAAUAUGAGAAUAUGGAGGAAUCCAUCCCCAAAGAGAGAACAAGAAAGGAUCAUAUCCAGGGAUCUAAUCAAAACAGAUAUAAGGAAUAGGCCUAAAACAGAACUUAAAACAACAAUAGUAAGGAUAAUGGAUGGGCUUGAGAACAGCAUAGAAGACAUCAAGGAUAUGCAUACCACAGAGAUAAAAGACAUAAAAACUGGUCAACGGUGAAAUUUAAAAAUGCUAUGAAAGAGACAUGAUGCUUACUGCACAUAAUAAUGGGUGGAAGCAGCAGAGGAAUGACUAAGUGAUAUAGAAGAUAAAAUUAUGGAAAAUAAGGAAUCAGAAAAGAGAGGGUAAACUAACUUCUUGGGUUGUGGAUGUAGACUUAGAGAACUCAGCCACUCUGUACAGUGUAGUAAAAUUCCUUUCAUAGGAGUCCCAAAAGAAGAGAGGGAAAAAGGGACAGAAGGUUUAUUUGUGCAAAUUGUAGCUGAAAGUUGCCCUAACCCAAGGAAGGAAAUGAACAUCCAAAUCCAGAAGGCACAGAGAACUCCUAUCAAAAUCAACAAAAGCAGGCCAUUACCAAGAUAAAUCAUAGAAAAUUGACAUAAUAUAGAGAUAAAGGAAAAAUCCUAAAAGCAGCAAGAGAAAAGAAGUCCCUAAGAAGGGAAGGCAAAUAAGGUUAGUUCCCUUCACAGAAACUUACCAAGAGAGAAGGGAGUGUCAUCAUACAUUCAAUGUGCUGAAUGGGAAAAAAAUAGGCAGGCAAGAAUACUUUAUC
This is a non-coding RNA of Felis catus (domestic cat), 2441 nucleotides long. The record is from the annotation of a RefSeq genome assembly. NCBI's taxonomy places the organism in Eukaryota, Metazoa, Chordata, Mammalia, Carnivora, Felidae.